RNAcentral lists this unclassified non-coding RNA (240 nucleotides) under soil metagenome. Its description in RNAcentral is "partial contains 5.8S ribosomal RNA, internal transcribed spacer 2, and large subunit ribosomal RNA". The record is from RNAcentral.
AACGGUCUAUACCUGCGGUACCUGCGGAGGGAUCAUUAACGAGUGUAACUUACCCUUUUUUUUAAAAGAGGGUAGUACCUCCUGUCCUUUGUAGGCCCCUUUUUAUUGGGGGGCUUUUUAAGACUUUCUGCUUCGGCGGGGUUAUUCCCGCCGGAACACCCUCAAAAAACUCUUCAAAAACUAAUUCAGUCCGAGAAUUUUUGAAAAUAAAAAAAACUUUCAGCAAUGGAUCUCUAGAUC